This 496-nucleotide ribosomal RNA is filed under the name uncultured bacterium. RNAcentral describes it as "partial 16S ribosomal RNA". It matches the Rfam family "Bacterial small subunit ribosomal RNA", at positions 28 to 506 of the family's 1533-position model. The record is from RNAcentral.
GAUGAACGCUGGCGGCGUGCCUAAUACAUGCAAGUCGAGCGAACAGACGAGGAGCUUGCUCCUCUGACGUUAGCGGCGGACGGGUGAGUAACACGUGGAUAACCUACCUAUAAGACUGGUAUAACUUCGGGAAACCGGAGCUAAUACCGGAUAAUAUAUUGAACCGCAUGGUUCAAUAGUGAAAGACGGUUUUGCUGUCACUUAUAGAUGGAUCCGCGCCGCAUUAGCUAGUUGGUAAGGUAACGGCUUACCAAGGCAACGAUGCGUAGCCGAGCUAAGAGGGUGAUCGGCCACACAGGAACUGAGACACGGUACAGACUCCUACGGGAGGCAGCAGUAGGGAAUCUUCCGCACUGGGCGAAAGCCUGACGGAGGAACGGAGCGUGAGUGAUGAAGGGCCUCGGAUCGUAAAACGCUGUUAUUAGGGAAGAACAAAUGUGUAAGUAACUAUGCACGUCUUGACGGUACCUAAACAGAAAGCCACGGUUAACUACGU